AGAGUUCGUUCCUGGCUCAGAUUGAACGCUGGCGGCAUGCCUUACACAUGCAAGUCGAACGGCAGCACGGAGCUUGCUCUGGUGGCGAGUGGCGAACGGGUGAGUAAUAUAUCGGAACGUACCCUAGAGUGGGGGAUAACGUAGCGAAAGUUACGCUAAUACCGCAUACGAUCUAAGGAUGAAAGUGGGGGAUCGCAAGACCUCAUGCUCGUGGAGCGGCCGAUAUCUGAUUAGCUAGUUGGUAGGGUAAAAGCCUACCAAGGCAUCGAUCAGUAGCUGGUCUGAGAGGACGACCAGCCACACUGGAACUGAGACACGGUCCAGACUCCUACGGGAGGCAGCAGUGGGGAAUUUUGGACAAUGGGCGAAAGCCUGAUCCAGCAAUGCCGCGUGAGUGAAGAAGGCCUUCGGGUUGUAAAGCUCUUUUGUCAGGGAAGAAACGGUGAAAGCUAAUAUCUUUUGCUAAUGACGGUACCUGAAGAAUAAGCACCGGCUAACUACGUGCCAGCAGCCGCGGUAAUACGUAGGGUGCAAGCGUUAAUCGGAAUUACUGGGCGUAAAGCGUGCGCAGGCGGUUUUGUAAGUCUGAUGUGAAAUCCCCGGGCUCAACCUGGGAAUUGCAUUGGAGACUGCAAGGCUAGAAUCUGGCAGAGGGGGGUAGAAUUCCACGUGUAGCAGUGAAAUGCGUAGAUAUGUGGAGGAACACCGAUGGCGAAGGCAGCCCCCUGGGUCAAGAUUGACGCUCAUGCACGAAAGCGUGGGGAGCAAACAGGAUUAGAUACCCUGGUAGUCCACGCCCUAAACGAUGUCUACUAGUUGUCGGGUCUUAAUUGACUUGGUAACGCAGCUAACGCGUGAAGUAGACCGCCUGGGGAGUACGGUCGCAAGAUUAAAACUCAAAGGAAUUGACGGGGACCCGCACAAGCGGUGGAUGAUGUGGAUUAAUUCGAUGCAACGCGAAAAACCUUACCUACCCUUGACAUGGCUGGAAUCCUUGAGAGAUCAGGGAGUGCUCGAAAGAGAGCCAGUACGCAGGUGCUGCAUGGCUGUCGUCAGCCCGUGUCGUGAGAUGUUGGGUUAAGUCCCGCAACGAGCGCAACCCUUGUCAUUAGUUGCUACGAAAGGGCACUCUAAUGAGACUGCCGGUGACAAACCGGAGGAAGGUGGGGAUGACGUCAAGUCCUCAUGGCCCUUAUGGGUAGGGCUUCACACGUCAUACAAUGGUACAUACAGAGCGCCGCCAACCCGCGAGGGGGAGCUAAUCGCAGAAAGUGUAUCGUAGUCCGGAUUGUAGUCUGCAACUCGACUGCAUGAAGUUGGAAUCGCUAGUAAUCGCGGAUCAGCAUGUCGCGGUGAAUACGUUCCCGGGUCUUGCACACACCGCCCGUC
Molecule: ribosomal RNA, 1389 nt
Filed under: uncultured bacterium
Lineage: Bacteria
Description: bacterial SSU rRNA
Rfam family: Bacterial small subunit ribosomal RNA
Source: RNAcentral